This 406-nucleotide ribosomal RNA is filed under the name alpha proteobacterium BAL212. RNAcentral's name for it is "bacterial SSU rRNA". It matches the Rfam family "Bacterial small subunit ribosomal RNA", at positions 43 to 495 of the family's 1533-position model. The record is from RNAcentral. Lineage: Bacteria; Pseudomonadati; Pseudomonadota; Alphaproteobacteria.
CAGGCCUAACACAUGCAAGUCGAACGGACCCUUCGGGGUUAGUGGCGGACGGGUGAGUAACACGUGGGAACGUGCCUUUUGGUUCGGAAUAGCUCCUGGAAACGGGUGGUAAUGCCGAAUGUGCCCUUCGGGGGAAAGAUUUAUCGCCAUUAGAGCGGCCCGCGUCUGAUUAGCUAGUUGGUGAGGUAAAGGCUCACCAAGGCUACGAUCAGUAGCUGGUCUGAGAGGAUGACCAGCCACAUUGGGACUGAGACACGGCCCAAACUCCUACGGGAGGCAGCAGUGGGGAAUCUUGCGCAAUGGGCGAAAGCCUGACGCAGCCAUGCCGCGUGAAUGAUGAAGGUCUUAGGAUUGUAAAAUUCUUUCACCGGGGACGAUAAUGACGGUACCCGGAGAAGAAGCCCCG